RNAcentral lists this ribosomal RNA (459 nucleotides) under uncultured bacterium. Its description in RNAcentral is "partial 16S ribosomal RNA". It matches the Rfam family "Bacterial small subunit ribosomal RNA", at positions 338 to 795 of the family's 1533-position model. The record is from RNAcentral.
CCUACGGGUGGCAGCAGUGAGGAAUAUUGGUCAAUGGGCGGGAGCCUGAACCAGCCAAGCCGCGUGAGGGAAGAAGGUACAGCGUAUCGUAAACCUCUUUUGUCAGGGAACAAAGGCGGGGACUAGUCCCCGGAUGAGGGUACCUGAAGAAAAAGCAUCGGCUAACUCCGUGCCAGCAGCCGCGGUAAUACGGGGGAUGCGAGCGUUAUCCGGAUUUAUUGGGUUUAAAGGGUGCGCAGGCGGCCUGUUAAGUCAGCGGGAAAAGCCCGGGGCUCAACCCCGGCGAGCCGUGGAAACUGGCGGGCUGGAGUUGGAGAGAGGUACGCGGAAUGCGCGGUGUAGCGGUGAAAUGCUUAGAUAUCGCGCAGAACCCCGAUUGCGAAGGCAGCGUACCGGCUCCACACUGACGCUGAGGCACGAAAGCGUGGGUAUCGAACAGGAUUAGAUACCCUAGUAGUC